Molecule: unclassified non-coding RNA, 317 nt
Filed under: Hevea brasiliensis (rubber tree)
Lineage: Eukaryota; Viridiplantae; Streptophyta; Magnoliopsida; Malpighiales; Euphorbiaceae
Source: RNAcentral
UUCGUUUGUAGAGUAUUUCUUCAAUCAGUGACGAGAUUUUGAGCUGUUAGCUUCCUUGGAUGUUUUGCCUGCUCAAAUAAAUUUAUUUAUGUUUGAUUUGACAGUGAAUCAGGAGAGUGCUUGGAAAGGACAAUAAUGAUUAGAGUGAGCUUCUUUUGCACGAUGUGGAGCAUAGGAACUGAUUUGACAAUUGGUACUGGAGACAUAGCUGGGGAGCCCAGCAGACAUCAGACCAGGUGAACUUUCAGAGCUGCAUAUUGAGUCCAGAGUCACUUCACAUCUGCAGUGCACUUGGUAGGGCAUUAGGACUAUGGGUG